Clupea harengus (Atlantic herring) is the source of this 5509-nucleotide long non-coding RNA. Lineage: Eukaryota; Metazoa; Chordata; Actinopteri; Clupeiformes; Clupeidae. The record is from Ensembl.
GUCCGCAAUGUAGUUUCAAGAAAGGUUGUUGAUGAGCUCAACGACAAUCAAAUGACACCCCUCCCUUCCAUGCUCCUGAAACCCGGUGUUGAUUGGCUGGGAUUGGUUAUGGCUUGGUCUGAGCCACUAUGUUUGUUUCCCAUUUACAGAGCCAGGACUGUGUACGAACACCGGACCUUUUUUGAACGCAAACGCUGAACAGACAGCUAGACAACCGUGAGGAGCAAUUCUAUGAAUUUGACGAAAAGUGUAUGGGAUCAUAAUCCUGGACUGCACCUUUAAAAGAUAGGAGGCAGGGCAUCUGAGGAGACUUGCAGCCUAUGGGAAGUCUCUGGGUGAUUCUCAUUUCCUUUAUUUGUCAAUCCUCCCUUCCUUCCUUCCUUUCUUUCUUACGUCCAUGCCCCUUUAUAAAAACGUGAAGGAAACAAGGAAGGAAUGCAACGGAGAUAGAGGACAGAUAUAUGAGAAAUGGGAUGUGCUUGCUCACACUCAUCACUUUUAAGAGACGUCAAUUACUGAUGACAGCAGCAUCACCUCUUGCUAAACUAAACGUUAUAUACAGCAUGUCAGAAAUGAACGACUUUAAGAUCAAUCAAAGUGUAAUUUCUACUAGUAAUUGUCAUCGGAGACAAUUAGGGUUGUUUCAAUUUAAACCUACACUGACACAGGUCUAAAUUUAAUUUCGUUAUUCAUCACCAUUAUUUUCUUUGUCUAUUAUGCCAAAUGCUGAUCACAAUUGCAGAGAUCUCCAUUUAAAUCCAUAGGCUAGAUGUGUUAUUACAUGAAGUCCAACCUAUAGAGUACAGCAGAAUAUAAUACACUAUACAAUUAUAUAGAGCAAAGUAUUAUAGUGAAAGACACGACUGCACACCAGCAAGUAUUAAUCUUUUAAAAACAGCAUGUUAAGAAGGAAAAGCUCGAAUUACUUUAAACAAACUAGACAGGAGGCCUUCCAUACCACAGCUGCUGAAGUCCGCUAGAAUUCUCCAUUAACAAAUCCUGUUAACAAGGUGUGAUAAUCUGCUGUUCUCAUGACAUGGUAUAAAUGAAUUGUUGAUUAACCACGGACCUCUAGGCAACACUUUCAUCAAUGUUUCAUUACAGUUGGCAUAUUUCAUGAUAAUUCAAGCAUAUUCAAGCCUACUGACUCCAAAAGGACACGUCACGCCUUGUUACCAUAAAUAUGAGAUUCAUCUGUAAAAAAGACCUCCGCAUAGGAUGCUCUUAUGUCUCCUCACUCUUAGGCCCUCCGUCCUCCCUCCUCGUCUCCUCUGGCAACAAUUUGAGAAAUUAGACAUCCUUCAUGAAGUCAGACUUUGCACAAGCUUGAGGACUGAUUAACGAGGACAGAGAGAGCAUGCAAAUAACAGCAUGGGAUGUACCUUCUGUGUGGCAUCAGGCAGGGCAGCCUAGACCUUCACCACCCGGUCGAGUCAAAACAUAAACACAUUUCCCUUUCAAAUAGAGCCUGUGCUCUCCCUUCACACCUCAAACCUCCAUUUCACUUGCUAAAUGUUUGAGGAUGACAGAGAUGGCAAAGUUUGCAUGAAAAUGUGAAGGGGGGAAAAUAAAUUAAAAAAAAGAGAGUAGAGAGGGAAUACUUCAUCAGCCCCCGUUUAUCAGGCAUUUUUGCAUACGGCUAAACACGAAAGACGGGAAAGAUGUUUCAGUUCAAAUCCGCACAAGAUACCAGUUGUAAUCUAGACACCCACCGUUACUGAAAUAUGUUUGAUUGAUUGAUUGAUUAAAGACUUUUUGCUUUAGGGCCAUUUAUUUUUGUCAUUUAUUUAAAAGUUUCCUUAGCUAACUAGCUUGCAUAAAAACUAGGCAACCAUAGCGACGAAAAAACAGUUUGCAGCCAUGGUCUGGUCGUUGUGGCGCCAUAUCCAGCAAACUCAGUUAAAAGAAACAGCUGUAAAGCCUGGCAAGCGAUGCGUGUAUUCAUUGAUUUUCAAUUAUUAAACUUAGAACUGCAACAGGGAAAUGUCCAACAUUGACUUUGACAGCUGUUUAUUUUCACAGAGAUACUUUGCAACAUGAUCACACAACGUCCAUUUAUUCAUUGACCAGACAAAUAGCCUGGAACUAAUUAAAUUCUUCAAAAUCAGCUCACAGAUCAAAGACAGUCUUGGGCUCAAAGUGAUCACAAACACUUGCAGAUGAUGUUAAAUGGCUCCCCAUAGAGAAAUAAUGGGACAUCAGUGGGGCAAGGGCUUACUCAUGAUAUCAACAUAGUGAAUAAGGUGGGAAAAGUCACCCUCCCCUUUGCACUACUCCAAGACUAUUCCCACUUAAAGUACCACUAUGCAACAAUUUGACACUUUUUGAGAUAUGGUUUUAUAGGCAACUAGUUUUGGUACCAUCCUCAAAUUCAUUUUGAUAGCAUAUGGUCAUGUGAAGGACCUGUGUCUUCCCCUGUGCCAUCCAGGAUAUGCCCUAUUGGUUCUGUGUAACGGGCUGGUACACCCUGCAAAUAUGGAAUAAAAGCUUUCACACGCAUGACAUUGCCAGCUAAACUGCCAAAAGACACCAGUUAGUGUGUUGGCAAGCUUCUAUCAGUGUCAGCUGGGCUGUUGGUGGUGUCUGCAAGGUUUUUACAUGCCUUUUAGGUAGUUAGCUUACUAGUUUUGGAACAGAACUCCGUAUUGCUGCUUUAAGGCAUGGCGUAGGAUUGCCGUUCUUGUUACUAGGGGAUAAAAUGAAAGAUGGAUUAACGACACCGGCUCCUAUUCCCACUUGAUGCCAAUACGGCACACACCGUCAAAUUACGGAUUUCAAUGUAAGUGUGAAUGAUGCCAGAGAGAGAGAGAGAGAGAGAGAGAAAGGCAGAAAAACAAACAGCACCAAAUGUUUCAAAAGUAAUUUGAAAAGAAUGCCAUUAAAACAAAGCAAGGACUCUGCUCUGUAAACAGACCAUACUUGCAUACAACAUGCAACAUUGAACCAGUUGCUCUAAUUUUUUUUAACUAAAACUAUUCACUGCUUAUCCUAUUUGUCCACAUUAUCUAGAAGUGUUGUUGUCAAGUAACAGCCAGGUACAGUGAGUUCUGCAACCUCUAACUGUAAUACCAUAGAAAUGAACUAGUUUUAUGAACUAGUCAAUCAUGUUAUAUAUAUAUUUGAGCAAAGUGACCCCGGGCAUUGACUAACUGGCCAACAUUUGUAAAGAGAAACAAAGUGACAUGCUUCGCUUACACUCAACAUAAUCCUAAAAAUCAACAUCAACUCAAAAACAGACAAGGGGAGCAGCACUCACCUUCCAAGUUCCAGGUCACUGUUUGUUUCUAGGUGAACUACCGUCCGGUGCGGAAAGAAAGAAAGUGCGCACCUUGCCUAACCAGGCUUUUAAACUCCGCACGCCCUCACUUCAAAAGCACGCCUUCUCUUGCGGCCCCACGUCACGGGGGCGAAAACACUAUACACCCAACAUAGAAUUUGGAUUCAUAUCUUCGUCAGGAAGUAGCUGCAUUUAUUAAAUACGGAACAUUCUAAAUAUACAUUAUGAAACUACAACUUUGUUUUUCGGGCAGGACCAUUAUGCCAUUUGGUCUCUGUUGACUCUGGCUCUCAAAUUCCAUUUGAUGGUCGAUUUCUAUGUACCCUACAACGCUGCGAAUAAUCAAACUGAAUUUAACUCCAAACCUCCUAUCAGAUUUAACACAACAAUCUGUUCUUAACGAAAGAGCAUGGUACUGCUCAAUGACUACACUUAAAUGUAAACUACAACAAUGGAAAAGACCUAGGACCUAAAUUCCUGAAGCUGAGCCGGAGGCCAUUUCAAGACUUUAAAGACAAGCUAGCAGAAAGAUCUCAAGACAUCGUAAAGACAUAAAAUAGACAACGUCACCAUUUCCAUGAAUGUCGGAGCCAAGGAGAAUCGCACUUUUCCUUCAAAACGUAUAGUCAUGUGCAUGUAGCCUAUCAUACAUGGGUUCUUACGCAUCGACUUUUACAUUUACUUAGGUAUUAAACCCACCUUACACACAGACUCAGGUUUGACACAUUUAGGGGAGACAUUGAUAGCCUACCACUUCCCAGUGAAGAGGUUAACAGGAUACAAGUAUAGCCUUCGUAUGGGCAAAUUAUUUGAGUCUAUCAAAUGUACUACAAAUCUUCGGGUCAGAAUUUCUCUGGGCACCACUAUCAAUCCCACUGGAACAACAUGUCAUUGACCGUACGAUUUAUUAGUGGUGGUUUAGGAAUAAAAAUGACUUUCUUCUUCUAUGUUCAAUGUCUUCAGCCUAUACCAUUACGGUGAACUUGAACAAGACCAAAAGUCAAGUUUCCCACACUACGACCGACCACAAUUUCAAAAUCUUGCAAAUUAAUCCUCAUACGAUUACGAUUGAAAUACCUGAACUGGAUUGUGAUACAACGCCAUGCUCGCAAUCAUUUCCCCCCAUGAUGGCCAUUAGCUAAUUGAAGUAACCAAACGUUACAUUCUGCGCACCACUUUUCCAGGAAAACGGUAAACUGCCUUAAUUUACUAAAAUGUUUGUCAAGCUAUGCUUAAAAGGCAAAGUUAAAGCAAACUUCACAUACAUACCUGCGCAUGACGACAAACAGGUCGAUCGACUUUUAACAUAAACCAGGACUUCCGAAAAGUUUAAUCUUAUGUGCUCAACACGGGGGAAAAGUUGGCCUCGUUUAUAGCCUAACUACUAGCCUAACUACUACCCACACAAGUCCCACCCCGUCCCACGACAUCAACAUACAAACCAGUUCACUUUGUCAGAAGCAAAAAGUGUGGUAACGUGACUGCUUACCGUAUAAGUGCUCCACGAAUGCAUGGAGUCCGAUUGAAGAGCCAAGAUAUUCCCAAAUCUCCUGGUAGCCUGCAAUGGGCUCACGACUAGGGAUCUUUUCUCCCACUGGCUGUCAGCAAAUACUGCGUGAUAUCUCGACUUCGAACACGCUUUCCACCCAAAUUAUCUGAACAGUGUUGCUCUUGCCUUGAUGGAGCAGCCUUGACUCGGGGUCUCUCGGAGAGACCGAUCAGAAUAUGACUUAAACCACAGAGCCCUAGAAAACAAUCACACAUCGUUGACACGGCUUCAUGUUUCAUUUGCAGCCCGGCGGCUUGUCCUUUUCAGGUGGAAGAGAUCCAUACACAAGGCAAACACUCAAGGCAGUUGAUAAGUAGCGAAUGAGCUAACAGGCAGAGCAGUUAGCCGCGUGUCUCAAUAUCCUCUUCCCUCUCAGUCUGUGGCACGUUACUUUAGGACUAUCCACAUAUCGCUAUAUCUUGUACAGUACAAAGGAGAAACUUUUCGAUGGCUUCUGCUACCCCCGUCUAUUACCCAAACACAAUGUCAGGAAAGCGAAGUGCGGCAGAAUUGCGUCAGCAGCAUAUUUGUUUGAGACAUAAACCACCUCAACGGACAUCAAAUCGUUUCAAAAACAGUGAAAUUAAAUAAAUAAACAACAUACAAAAUACACCUCCCCUCUACGAAUUGCUCGGAGAGGUGGUCCACACUGCCCCUCAGGAAGUGCGUCAUCAGUAAGGACC